RNAcentral lists this unclassified non-coding RNA (1439 nucleotides) under Hevea brasiliensis (rubber tree). Lineage: Eukaryota; Viridiplantae; Streptophyta; Magnoliopsida; Malpighiales; Euphorbiaceae. The record is from RNAcentral.
AAAAAAAAUAAAAAUAAAAAGAAAGAAAAUUUUGGUCAAUUUCGCUAAUAUCUUUUCCCCUUUUCAUUAAGCAUGCGUAUUAGAUUUUUAUGGAAAAGAAAAUGUAAAUCUAGAGAAGCUUUGACUGCUUUUACAAUUUUGACCUCUAAGCAUCCAACUUUUAAAUAACAAAUAAAGGUAGGAAAAUAAUAGUAAUAGAUCCCAAUUUGAAAAUCUGAGCUACAAUAGGAAAUAUAGAACAUGGUGAAAUAGUAGGUGUAAUUGAGAAGAUGUUUUUAUUUAAAAUUUAUAUGAUUAAAGCAAUAUUAAUGGUGCUGUUUGAGGAUUCUUUAUGGGUAUGGAUCUGCAAAACAAGAAUACUAGUGGUUGGAUUGAGUAAUCUCUCAAAUGCUUAAGUCAGUAACGGAAACUGGAAACUGGAAGAUGAAAAUAUAGAAUAAAGAAGAGAGAAUGAUUAGGUUCGGCGUGUACUUGGUUAUCCCCAUGUAUAUAGGCAUCGGUUGGACUUCCACUUAGACUAGGAGUUUGAGUUGGAAUAGAACUUGGUCUUUGAAUAUCUCGGAUAUUUUUUGUCAGAGUUUUUGUUGGACUGCAAAUCCCUCCUGGACUAGGAUUCUAACCUUGUCGAACGAGCAUAUCUUAGGAUCUGUCUGGGCGAAGGAGAUAGUCAUCCAUAUUUGUAUUCGCGCCCGGGAGGGCAAAUGACUUGUUCUGUCGGUUAACGGGAUGAAUUAGGUUUUCCUAACAUUGUGCUAUUCUUUGACCUAGAACAUGGGGCUACCGAUUUGUUUCUUUUGUAAUUAACCUUGUAUCUGCGAACCUAAUGUAUGAAAAAAAGAGUUAUUCAACAUUUUCAUGCGUAUGGUAUAUGGAUAUGGCUAAUGGAAUAAGCACAAUUUACUAAAGCACUUGGUUGUAACAAAGUAAUUGAUGCGGUCAAGGAAAAGGAAUUGUUUUUAUUUUAUAUUUCAUUGUAAAAUUAAGAAGUUUAAAUUUCUUUUAAUUAAAAAUGUAGAGAAAGGAGAGAUUGAGGAAUGAAUGGUUUGAUUAUUCUCUCAGGCUUUGGGGAUUAAAUAGCUGAUAGAAAAAACUAAUUAGGAAAUCUAUUUUACAGGCAUAAACAAUCCUUCCUAAUUAACUUCUAACUUCCUAAUCUAAUGCAAGAUUACAGGAAUAAUUAUGAGAAUAAAUAUUUACAAAAAAGUUUAGAUUAUUUAGAUAUUUUAUGACAAUGUCAGAAGUAGUAGUUUAUUUUAUUAAGAAAUUUAGUUUAUUUGGGAUUACUAAUUAGGAUUCGUUUAAAUAUUUUCUUAUUUUGUGAUUCCUAAUCCUAAUAGUAGUAGCAUUAAUUAUUGUUCUAUGAACACCUAUGUAAUUUAGAUAUUUUCCUAGAGCUUAUUAUUAUUGCCAAUUGAAAAUCAAUCAAAUUUGGAUAGUUU